UUAAUUGAAGAGUUUGAUCAUGGCUCAGAUUGAACGCUGGCGGCAGGCCUAACACAUGCAAGUCGAGCGGCAGCACAGAGAAACUUGUUUCUCGGGUGGCGAGCGGCGGACGGGUGAGUAAUGCCUGGGAAAUUGCCCUGAUGUGGGGGAUAACCAUUGGAAACGAUGGCUAAUACCGCAUGAUGCCUACGGGCCAAAGAGGGGGACCUUCGGGCCUCUCGCGUCAGGAUAUGCCCAGGUGGGAUUAGCUAGUUGGUGAGGUAAGGGCUCACCAAGGCGACGAUCCCUAGCUGGUCUGAGAGGAUGAUCAGCCACACUGGAACUGAGACACGGUCCAGACUCCUACGGGAGGCAGCAGUGGGGAAUAUUGCACAAUGGGCGCAAGCCUGAUGCAGCCAUGCCGCGUGUGUGAAGAAGGCCUUCGGGUUGUAAAGCA
Molecule: ribosomal RNA, 436 nt
Filed under: Vibrio vulnificus
Lineage: Bacteria; Pseudomonadati; Pseudomonadota; Gammaproteobacteria; Vibrionales; Vibrionaceae
Description: bacterial SSU rRNA
Rfam family: Bacterial small subunit ribosomal RNA
Source: RNAcentral